UAACCUGCCCAAGAGAUCGGGAUAACACCUGGAAACAGAUGCUAAUACCGGAUAACAACAGAUGAUGCCUAUCAACUGUUUAAAAGAUGGUUCUGCUAUCACUCUUGGAUGGACCUGCGGUGCAUUAGCUAGUUGGUAGGGUAACGGCCUACCAAGGCGAUGAUGCAUAGCCGAGUUGAGAGACUUAUCAGCCACAUUGGGACUGAGACACGGCCCAAACUCCUACGGGAGGCAGCAGCU
This 240-nucleotide ribosomal RNA is filed under the name uncultured Lactobacillus sp. Its description in RNAcentral is "partial 16S ribosomal RNA". It matches the Rfam family "Bacterial small subunit ribosomal RNA", at positions 122 to 355 of the family's 1533-position model. The record is from RNAcentral. Lineage: Bacteria; Bacillati; Bacillota; Bacilli; Lactobacillales; Lactobacillaceae.